CAGCAGCCACGGUAAUACGUAGGGCGCAAGCGUUGUCCGGAAUUAUUGGGCGUAAAGAGCUCGUAGGCGGUCUGUCGCGUCUGUUGUGGAAUCCCCGGGCUCAACCUGGGAAUGGCAAUGGAUACUGGCAAGCUAGAGUGUGUCAGAGGAUGGUGGAAUUCCCGGUGUAGCGGUGAAAUGCGUAGAGAUCGGGGGGAACAUCAGUGGCGAAGGCGGCCAUCUGGGACAACACUGACGCUGAGGCACGAGAGCGUGGGGAGCAAACAGGAUUAGAUACCCCCGUAGUCCCUGUCUCUUAUAC
This 301-nucleotide ribosomal RNA is filed under the name uncultured bacterium. RNAcentral describes it as "partial 16S ribosomal RNA". It matches the Rfam family "Bacterial small subunit ribosomal RNA", at positions 509 to 807 of the family's 1533-position model. The record is from RNAcentral.